This 676-nucleotide ribosomal RNA is filed under the name uncultured bacterium. RNAcentral describes it as "bacterial SSU rRNA". It matches the Rfam family "Bacterial small subunit ribosomal RNA", at positions 66 to 749 of the family's 1533-position model. The record is from RNAcentral.
ACGGAGUUGUGUUGAAAGCUUGCUGGAAAUACAACUUAGUGGCGGACGGGUGAGUAACACGUGAGUAACCUGCCUUUCAGAGUGGAAUAACGUUUGGAAACGAACGCUAAUACCGCAUAACAUGAGAGAACGGCAUCGUUCUUUCAUCAAAGAUUUUAUCGCUGAGAGAUGGGCUCGCGGCCGAUUAGGUAGUUGGUGAGAUAACAGCCCACCAAGCCGACGAUCGGUAGCCGGACUGAGAGGUUGAACGGCCACAUUGGGACUGAGACACGGCCCAGACUCCUACGGGAGGCAGCAGUGGGGGAUAUUGCACAAUGGAGGAAACUCUGAUGCAGCGACGCCGCGUGAGGGAAGACGGUCUUCGGAUUGUAAACCUCUGUCUUUAGGGACGAAAAAAUGACGGUACCUAAGGAGGAAGCCACGGCUAACUACGUGCCAGCAGCCGCGGUAAUACGUAGGUGGCAAGCGUUGUCCGGAAUUACUGGGUGUAAAGGGAGCGUAGGCGGGGAGACAAGUUGAAUGUUUAAACUAUCGGCUCAACUGAUAGUCGCGCUCAAAACUAUCACUCUUGAGUGCAGUAGAGGUAGGCGGAAUUCCUAGUGUAGCGGUGAAAUGCGUAGAUAUUAGGAGGAACACCAGUGGCGAAGGCGGCCUACUGGGCUGUAACUGACGCUGA